Molecule: long non-coding RNA, 212 nt
Organism: Sorghum bicolor (sorghum)
Lineage: Eukaryota; Viridiplantae; Streptophyta; Magnoliopsida; Poales; Poaceae
Exons: 2
Source: RefSeq, a predicted model, not a curated record
GCCCCCGCUGCGUCUCGUUCUUGCUCGCAUCGGCGCACCACGUGCUGAAUCGUUGGACCACACCAGGUCAAGACACCGCGGCGUCACUCGGUUACAACUGCUAUUCUCACGGUGCCAAUUGUUAGAGCAAUUAAAGUUUGUCCACAUAGUUUGAUACUUUAAAUGUAUUUGGAUCUGAAACGUGCGUUUUUAAACUUGAAACCUUGCUGGUC